This 253-nucleotide ribosomal RNA is filed under the name uncultured bacterium. Its description in RNAcentral is "partial 16S ribosomal RNA". It matches the Rfam family "Bacterial small subunit ribosomal RNA", at positions 524 to 776 of the family's 1533-position model. The record is from RNAcentral.
UACGUAGGGUGCGAGCGUUAAUCGGAAUUACUGGGCGUAAAGUGUGCGCAGGCGGCCAUGCAAGUCGAGUGUGAAAGCCCCGGGCUUAACUUGGGAAUUGCGCUCGAAACUACGAGGCUGGAGUGUGGCAGAGGAAGGUGGAAUUCCACGUGUAGCGGUGAAAUGCGUAGAGAUGUGGAGGAACACCAAUGGCGAAGGCAGCCUUCUGGGCCAACACUGACGCUCAUGCACGAAAGCGUGGGGAGCAAACAGG